GUGCGACGUGAGUAUGCGACGAACCACCCUGGAGUGGACGCCGGAACUGAGUUCUUCGUGUCAGGCUUCAGUGUUGUUUUUUUCCUCUCUGGACGGGCUUCUGGUUUAGCUAGUUGGUGGGGUAACGGCCUAGAAGGGGCGAUGCCUACCGGGUGUGAGAGCAUGACCCGGCACACUGGAACUGAGACACUGUCCAGACACCUACGGGUGGCUGCAGUCGAGAAUCUUCGGCAAUGGGCGAAAGCCUGACCGAGCGACGCCGCGUGAGGGAUUGAAGGCCUUCGGGUUGUAAACCUCUUUCGUAGAGGAGGAAGGGACUGUGAAGAGCAGUUCUUGACCUAUUCUAGGAAGAAGCCAGGGCUAAGUUCGUGCCAGCAGCCGCGGUAAGACGAACCAAGCGAACGUUAUUCGGAAUUACUGGGCUUAAAGCGCGUGUAGGCGGACUGCCACGUCGGUUGUUGAAAUCCCCCGGCUUAACCGGGGAACAGGCACCGAUACGAGUAGUCUUGAGGUGGGUAGGGGAGACUGGAACUUCCGGUGGAGCGGUGAAAUACGUUGAGAUCGGAAGGAACGCCCGCGGCGAAAGCGAGUCUCUGGCCCCAUACUGACGCUGAGACGCGAAAGCCAGGGGAGCAAACGGGAUUAGAUACCCCGGUAGUCCUGGCUGUAAACAUUGGGCACUGGGUAGUGGAACCGCCGAUGGUUUCACUGCCGCAGGGAAACCGUGAAGUGCCCCGCCUGGGGAGUAUGGUCGCAAGGCUGAAACUCAAAGGAAUUGACGGGGGCUCACACAAGCAGUGGAGUAUGUGGCUUAAUUCGAGGCUACGCGAAGAACCUUACCUAGGCUUGACAUGCAAGGAUUAGUCGGCGGGGACGUCGAUGACGCCGCAAGGUGGAACUUGCACAGGUGCUGCAUGGCUGUCGUCAGCUCG
RNAcentral lists this ribosomal RNA (932 nucleotides) under uncultured bacterium. RNAcentral's name for it is "bacterial SSU rRNA". It matches the Rfam family "Bacterial small subunit ribosomal RNA", at positions 93 to 1062 of the family's 1533-position model. The record is from RNAcentral.